This 195-nucleotide ribosomal RNA is filed under the name uncultured Enterobacter sp. Its description in RNAcentral is "partial 16S ribosomal RNA". It matches the Rfam family "Bacterial small subunit ribosomal RNA", at positions 335 to 524 of the family's 1533-position model. The record is from RNAcentral. Lineage: Bacteria; Pseudomonadati; Pseudomonadota; Gammaproteobacteria; Enterobacterales; Enterobacteriaceae.
ACUCCUACGGGAGGCAGCAGGGGAAUCUUGCACAAUGGGCGCAAGCCUGAUGCAGCCAUGCCGCGUGUAUGAAGAAGGCCUUCGGGUUGUAAAGUACUUUCAGCGGGGAGGAAGGCGACGGGGUUAAUAACCCUGUCGAUUGACGUUACCCGCAGAAGAAGCACCGGCUAACUCCGUGCCAGCAGCCGCGGUAAU